RNAcentral lists this long non-coding RNA (250 nucleotides) under Phasianus colchicus (ring-necked pheasant). RNAcentral describes it as "lncRNA (ENSPCLG00000015986.1)". Lineage: Eukaryota; Metazoa; Chordata; Aves; Galliformes; Phasianidae. The record is from RNAcentral.
CACCCCAUAGCACCCUACGGCGCCACAUGUCACCCCAUAGCACCCCACGUCUCCCCACAGCGCCUCCUGUCACCCCAUAGCGCCCCAUAGCGCCUCGUGUUGCCCCACAUCUCCCCACAACAAUGAGCCAGUGCACCCCAUAUCGCCCCACAGCGCCCCAUAUCGCCCUAUACCGCCCUAUAUCGCCCCAUAGCACCCCAUAUCGCCCCAUAGCACCCCACAGCUGACAAAAACCCCACAGCAGCGGCGC